AUGUUGUGUCUAACCUGCUGGGAGAGUCAAAAUAUGUGCUUUGUGUCAAGGGGGGAGGACAGCUGGAGAAGACAGAUACAGAGACACACAGAGCCAGAGUUGUCUGUCAGGGGGGGGGGGGGGGGGGGGGGACACAGCUGGAGAAGACAGAUACAGAGACACACAGAGCCAGAGUUGUCUGUCAGGGGGGGGGGACAGCUGGAGAAGACGGAUACAGAGACACACAGAGCCAGAGUUGUCUGUCAGGGGGGGGGACAGCUGGAGAAGACGGAUACAGAGACACACAGAGCCAGAGUUGUCUGUCGGGGGGGGGGGACGGGACAGCUGGAGAAGACAGAUACAGAGACACACAGAGCCAGAGUUGUCUGUCAGGGGGGGGGGGGGGGGGGGGAACAGCUGGAGAAGACGGAUACAGAGACACACAGAGCCAGAGUUGUCUGUCAGGGGGGGGGGGGGGGGGCAGCUGGAGAAGACGGAUACAGAGAGACACAGAGCCAGAGUUGUCUGUCGGGGGGGGGGGGGGGACAGCUGGAGAAGACGGAUACAGAGACACACAGAGCCAGAGUUGUCUGUCAGGGGGGGGGGGGGGGGGGGGGACAGCUGGAGAAGACGGAUACAGAGACACACAGAGCCAGAGUUGUCUGUCGGGGGGGGGGACAGCUGGAGAAGACGGAUACAGAGACACACAGAGCCAGAGGUGUCUGUUUUUACUGGAUUAAUGAAGCAUCAUUUCAACACCACGAGAACAGUCAGAUUACAACCAGGAAUGGCAGACGGAGGAAUGGCAGACGGAGGAACGGCAGACGGAGGAUUGGCAGACGGAGGAAUGGCAGACGGAGGAAUGGCAGACGGAGGAAUGGCAGACGGAGGAGUGGCAGACGGAGGAAUGGCAGACGGAGGAAUGGCAGACGGAGGAGUGGCAGACGGAGGAGUGGCAGACGGAGGAGUGGCAGACAGAGGAGUGGCAGACAGAGGAGUGGCAGACAGAGGAGUGGCAGACAGAGGAAUGGCAGACAGAGGAAUGGCAGACAGAGGAAUGGCAGACAGAGGAAUGGCAGACAGAGGAAUGGCAGACAGAGGAAUGGCAGACAGAGGAAUGGCAGACAGAGGAAUAGACAUCAUUCACGCUGUACCACAUCAACAAGGCUGGAAUAA
This 1155-nucleotide long non-coding RNA is filed under the name Oncorhynchus mykiss (rainbow trout). RNAcentral's name for it is "lncRNA (ENSOMYG00000048174.1)". The record is from RNAcentral. Lineage: Eukaryota; Metazoa; Chordata; Actinopteri; Salmoniformes; Salmonidae.